Hyla sarda is the source of this 354-nucleotide long non-coding RNA. RefSeq lists it as uncharacterized. The transcript is spliced from 3 exons. Lineage: Eukaryota; Metazoa; Chordata; Amphibia; Anura; Hylidae. The record is from RefSeq and is a predicted model, not a curated record.
GCUGGAGUGGAGGUCUCAUGUCACCCCAGUAGGAAGAAGAUUACAUGAGAGCCAAUGAUGUCCAGGCAUCAAUCUCUGCAGAAGGAAGAUGCAGUUCUGAAAGAAGUCCUGGUGCCUGGACAAGAUGAAGACUACAGAGAAGAGCCAAGAGAAGACGUCACUCAGGUCCUUUAACAAGGAAAGGAAGAAGGGGAAAUGGCGUCCAGCGGAUGUAAAUUCUCUUAUGACUCUAUAUCAGACUGGCAGUCUAUGGAGCCGUAGCUGAUCAAUUCACUAUUCAUCCAAAAUGUAAAACAUUCCUACUUAAAAUAUUAAUUGUUUAUAUGACAUGCUAUUAAGUAUUAAAAGUGAUUC